Molecule: long non-coding RNA, 919 nt
Filed under: Nicotiana benthamiana
Lineage: Eukaryota; Viridiplantae; Streptophyta; Magnoliopsida; Solanales; Solanaceae
Description: long non-coding RNA (NBEN_LNC012615)
Source: RNAcentral
CUUAAUUAAUCCAAAACACUUUAGGUCUUCUCCUCUUCUGACUUCUCCCUCUCGCGGUCACAGGCUCACAGUGUCGCUCAGUUGCUCUCAGUCUUCUCCCUCUUAUCUCUCGCUCUUGGUCUCUCUAUUGGCGGCAAGUGCAACUAAGCUUCAUCUGGAACGAGUCCAUUGAAAACUUCAUAUCUAGGGCUCCUUUCUUGUGUUGGUAACGUGUAAGCUUCAUCUGCUUCGUUUCUCAUUUCUUCAGUUCCUGCAAUUCUUUGAAUGUACUGCAAUUCUUGCACCUUUAAUUGGUCUCUUGGUGUAUGGUGUUGUACGAAUGGCUCAAACUAUUUCCACUAUUUUACCACAUUUGGGAUUGCUGCUUAAUUUUUGCGAUUGUUUACCUUGUAUUUUAAAAGUAUUGUAAGGCCUUAUUGGUUUGUGAUUUGACCAGUAUUUAGCUUCAUCAUUAUUCCAAUUAUACCAGUUUCUCCCUAAUAUUGUUGCAUUCAAGAAAUUAUUUCUUUAUUUAAUGAUUAUGACAUGCCGCUUUGGGUUUUUGUAAAUUUUCUAUUUGUUCAAUUGUUUGCUCGUAUUGUUGUAUUCAAUUCUUGUCUAGAAUACCCUAUAGCCUUAGGUAUUCAAUUCUUGUCCAGAAUACCCUAUUGCCUUAAGUAUUCAAUUCUUGUCCAGAAUACCCUAUAGCCUUAAGUGUUCAAUUCUUGUCUAGAAUAGUAAGCUCAAUAUUUGUUCUGCUUGUAUUUGUUUUUGAAGAUGGAAGAAAAUAGAAGUAUGGUAAGCGAAGCCUGCGAAGGUGGGGGUUCAAAUGAUAGAAUACCCAACAUCGAAGGUUUUAUUUCGGACAAUCUUGAUGAAGCUCCAAAGAAAAGGAAAGCGAUGCAACCUAGAUCUGAAGCCUGGAACCAUUUUGAGAAGU